CAAUAGCGUAUAUUUAAGUUGUUGCAGUUAAAAAGCUCGUAGUUGGAUUUCGGUUAAGAGCGACCGGUCCGCCGUUUGGUGUGCACUGGUUGGUUUUAACUUCCUGUAGAGGACGUGCUCUGGGUUUAACGACCUGGACUCGGAGUCUACGUGGUUACUUUGAAAAAAUUAGAGUGUUCAAAGAGGGCUUACGCUUGAAUAUUUCAGCAUGGAAUAACACUAUAGGACUCCUGUCCUAUUUCGUUGGUCUCGGGACGGGAGUAAUGAUUAAGAGGAACAGUUGGGGGCAUUCGUAUUUCAUUGUCAGAGGUGAAAUUCUUGGAUUUAUGAAAGACGAACUUCUGCGAAAGCAUUUGCCAAGGAUGUUUUCAUUAA
Molecule: ribosomal RNA, 375 nt
Filed under: uncultured eukaryote
Lineage: Eukaryota
Description: partial 18S ribosomal RNA
Rfam family: Eukaryotic small subunit ribosomal RNA
Source: RNAcentral